RNAcentral lists this ribosomal RNA (497 nucleotides) under uncultured bacterium. Its description in RNAcentral is "partial 16S ribosomal RNA". It matches the Rfam family "Bacterial small subunit ribosomal RNA", at positions 28 to 507 of the family's 1533-position model. The record is from RNAcentral.
GAUGAACGCUGGCGGCGUGCCUAAUACAUGCAAGUCGAGCGAACAGACGAGGAGCUUGCUCCUCUGACGUUAGCGGCGGACGGGUGAGUAACACGUGGAUAACCUACCUAUAAUACUGGGAUAACUUCGGGAAACCGGAGCUAAUACCGGAUAAUAUAUUGAACCGCAUGGUUCAAUAGUGAAAGACGGUUUUGCUGUCACGUAUAGAUGGAUCCGCGCCGUAUUAGCUAGUUGGUAAGGUAACAGCUUACCAAGGCAACGAUGCGUAGCCGAGGUGAGGGGGUGGUCGGCCACACUGGAAGUGAGCCACGGUCCAGACUCCUACGGGAGGCAGCAGUAGGGAAUCUUCCGCAAUGGGCGAAAGCAUGACGGAGCAACGCCGCGUGAGUGAUGAAGGCCUUCGGAGCGUAAAAACCUGUUAUUAGGGAAGAACCAAUGUGUCAGUAAAUAUGCACGUAUUGACGGUACCGAAUAAGAAAGCCACGGCUAACUACGUG